AUUGAACGCUGGCGGCAGGCUUUACACAUGCAAGUCGAACGAGCGGCGGACGGGUGAGUAAUGUCUUGGAAUCUGGCCUAUAGAGGGGGAUCACUACUGGAAACAGUCGCUAAUACCGCAUACCAUCGGAUGAACCGAAAUGGGAUUAGGUAGUGGGUGGGGUAAUGGCUCACCAAGGCGACGAUCCCUAGCUGGUCUGAGAGGAUGACCGGCCACACUGCGACUGAGAAACGGCCCGGACUCCUACGGGAGGCAGCAUUGGGGAAUAUUGCGCAAUGGGGUAAAUCCUGAGGAGGCCAGGCCGCGUGGAUGACGAAGUCCUUUGGGUUGUAAAGUUCUUUCGGCGGAGAAGCGUUAUUCACAGAAGAAGCACCGGCUAACUACGUGCCAGCAGCCGCGGUAAUUC
This 406-nucleotide ribosomal RNA is filed under the name uncultured bacterium. RNAcentral describes it as "partial 16S ribosomal RNA". It matches the Rfam family "Bacterial small subunit ribosomal RNA", at positions 30 to 526 of the family's 1533-position model. The record is from RNAcentral.